AUGGACCAAUCCAUCCCUUUUUCCCAUGCAUAUGCAUCGGACUCGGAUGACGAUGGUCCUGAUGAAGAAGUUGAUGAGGAGGGGUUCACACCGAAGGAGGCCGAAGCAUUCAGGAAGGUAUUCGGGGAUCACAAGACACCAUUGUUCAAGGAUCUUAGUCUCGCGGAUGAAGCCGUUGUGGAUGGUGGAAAAUGCAUAUCUCUUGGAGCUAGGCCAAGUUCUCAC
RNAcentral lists this ribosomal RNA (225 nucleotides) under Triticum aestivum (bread wheat). RNAcentral describes it as "partial small subunit ribosomal RNA". Lineage: Eukaryota; Viridiplantae; Streptophyta; Magnoliopsida; Poales; Poaceae. The record is from RNAcentral.